UUUGCCCCCAACGGUGCCUUCCAGGCAGCGCUGCCUGGUAGGCACCAUUGGGAGGCACUGGUUAUU
Molecule: small nucleolar RNA, 66 nt
Organism: Perca fluviatilis (European perch)
Lineage: Eukaryota; Metazoa; Chordata; Actinopteri; Perciformes; Percidae
Product: small nucleolar RNA SNORA17
Exons: 1
Source: RefSeq, a predicted model, not a curated record